AGCCUUGAGGUGUCUUACAUAUCAGAUUGCAAACCUGAAGAAGUAGGCUAGUUACCUACCGGGGCUU
RNAcentral lists this transfer RNA (67 nucleotides) under Amphiprion percula (orange clownfish). Its description in RNAcentral is "tRNA-Cys". The record is from RNAcentral. Lineage: Eukaryota; Metazoa; Chordata; Actinopteri; Pomacentridae.